GAUCAUGGCUCAGGAUGAACGCUAGCGGCAGGCUUAACACAUGCAAGUCGAGGGGCAUCACGUCUUCGGAUGGUGGCGACCGGCGCACGGGUGCGUAACACGUAUACAACUUGCCCGUCAUAGGGGAAUAACCCGGAGAAAUUCGGACUAAUACCCCGUAAGUAUAGAGGGGGCAUCCUCUUUAUAUUAUAGAUUUAUUGAUGACGGAUAGGUAUGCGCAGCAUUAGGUAGUUGGUGAGGUAACGGCUCACCAAGCCGACGAUGCUUAGGGGAACUGAGAGGUUUAUCCCCCACACUGGUACUGAGACACGGACCAGACUCCUACGGGAGGCAGCAGUGAGGAAUAUUGGUCAAUGGACGAAAGUCUGAACCAGCCAUGCCGCGUGCAGGAUGACGGCU
Molecule: ribosomal RNA, 399 nt
Filed under: Bacteroidetes bacterium M4
Lineage: Bacteria; Pseudomonadati; Bacteroidota
Description: bacterial SSU rRNA
Rfam family: Bacterial small subunit ribosomal RNA
Source: RNAcentral